AUAAUACCCGAUAGGUCUCGAUUGCUGGAAUGCAUCGAGAUUUAAAGCUCCGGCGCCUAAGGAUGGGUCUGCGGCCUAUCAGGUAGUAGUGGGUGUAGCGUACCUACUAGCCUACGACGGGUACGGGUUGUGAGAGCAAGAGCCCGGAGAUGGAUUCUGAGACACGAAUCCAGGCCCUACGGGGUGCAGCAGGCGCGAAAACUUUACAAUGCUGGCAACAGCGAUAAGGGAACCUCGAGUGCCAGGUUACAAAUCUGGCUGUCGAGAUGCCUAAAAAGCAUUUCAUAGCAAGGGCCGGGCAAGACCGGUGCCAGCCGCCGCGGUAACACCGGCGGCUCGAGUGGUAACCGUUAUUAUUGGGUCUAAAGGGUCUGUAGCCGGCCGGAUAAGUCUCUUGAGAAAUCUGGCAGCUUAACUGUCAGGCUUUCAGGAGAUACUGUCUGGCUCGAGGCCGGGAGAGGUGAGAGGUACUUCAGGGGUAGGGGUGAAAUCUUGUAAUCCUUGAAGGACCACCAGUGGCGAAGGCGUCUCACCAGAACGGACCUGACGGCAAGGGACGAAAGCUAGGGGCACGAACCGGAUUAGAUACCCGGGUAGUCCUAGCCGUAAACGAUACUCGCUAGGUGUCGGCCACGGUGCGACCGUUGUCGGUGCCGUAGGGAAGCCGUGAAGCGAGCCACCUGGGAAGUACGGCCGCAAGGCUGAAACUUAAAGGAAUUGGCGGGGGAGCACCACAACGGGUGGAGCUUG
RNAcentral lists this ribosomal RNA (750 nucleotides) under uncultured Methanosaeta sp. RNAcentral's name for it is "bacterial SSU rRNA". It matches the Rfam family "Archaeal small subunit ribosomal RNA", at positions 146 to 897 of the family's 1478-position model. The record is from RNAcentral. Lineage: Archaea; Methanobacteriati; Methanobacteriota; Methanomicrobia; Methanotrichales; Methanotrichaceae.